Molecule: ribosomal RNA, 253 nt
Filed under: uncultured bacterium
Lineage: Bacteria
Description: partial 16S ribosomal RNA
Rfam family: Bacterial small subunit ribosomal RNA
Source: RNAcentral
UACGGGGGGGGCAAGCGUUGUUCGGAAUUACUGGGCGUAAAGGGCUCGUAGGCGGCCAACUAAGUCGGACGUGAAAUCCCUCGGCUUAACCGGGGAACUGCGUCCGAUACUGGAUGGCUUGAGUUCGGGAGAGGGAUGCGGAAUUCCUGGUGUAGCGGUGAAAUGCGUAGAUAUCAGGAGGAACACCUGUGGCGAAAGCGGCUCACUGGACCAUAACUGACGCUGAUGCACGAAAGCUAGGGGAGCAAACAGG